CCUACGGGAGGCAGCAGUGGGGGAUAUUGCACAAUGGGGGGAACCCUGAUGCAGCGACGCCGCGUGGGUGAAGAAGCGCCUCGGCGCGUAAAGCCCUGUCAGCAGGGAAGAAAAUGACGGUACCUGAAGAAGAAGCCCCGGCUAACUACGUGCCAGCAGCCGCGGUAAUACGUAGGGGGCAAGCGUUAUCCGGAUUUACUGGGUGGAAAGGGGGCGCAGACGGCGAUGCAAGCCAGGAGUGAAAGCCCGGGGCCCAACCCCGGGACUGCUCUUGGAACUGCGUGGCUGGAGUGCAGGAGGGGCAGGCGGAAUUCCUGGUGGAGCGGUGAAAUGCGUAGAUAUCAGGAGGAACACCGGUGGCGAAGGCGGCCUGCUGGACUGCAACUGACGUUGAGGCCCGAAAGCGUGGGGAGCAAACAGGAUUAGAUACCCCAGUAGUC
RNAcentral lists this ribosomal RNA (440 nucleotides) under uncultured bacterium. RNAcentral's name for it is "partial 16S ribosomal RNA". It matches the Rfam family "Bacterial small subunit ribosomal RNA", at positions 338 to 795 of the family's 1533-position model. The record is from RNAcentral.